GAUGAAUGCUGACAGAAUGCUUAACACAUGCAAGUCUUUGGCGAAGCUGUGCUCGCACAGCCUAGCCAAGGCGGACGGGUGAGUAACGCGUAAGGAACUUGCCCUGCAGUCAGGGAUAACAGACGGAAACGACUGAUAAGACCUGGUAAAGUCAGGCGGACUCAUGUCCAGCCUGAUGAAAAGAGAUGCUGCAGGAGAGCCUUGCGUCCUAUUAGCUUGUUGGUGGGGUAACGGCCCACCAAGGCGAUGAUAGGUAGCCGGCCUGAGAGGGUGGACGGCCACAAGGGGACUGAGAUACGGCCCUUACUCCUACGGGAGGCAGCAGUGGGGAAUAUUGGACAAUGGGGGCAACCCUGAUCCAGCAAUUCUGUGUGCACGAUGAAGGUUUUCGGAUUGUAAAGUGCUUUCAGCAGGGAAGAAAAAAAUGACGGUACCUGCAGAAGAAGCGACGGCUAAAUACGUG
Molecule: ribosomal RNA, 463 nt
Filed under: uncultured bacterium
Lineage: Bacteria
Description: partial 16S ribosomal RNA
Rfam family: Bacterial small subunit ribosomal RNA
Source: RNAcentral